GCUGGAGGAAGGAGGAGGGUCCUGAGGGGCUCAAGGGGCCACAGAGGGUCACGGUGGCCCUUGCCUGGGGAGGACGGGGGCCAUGACGACCCCCUCCCCGUGGAGCCAGCACCUGCUGCCUGCCAGGCUCCUGCUGCAGGCUCUCCUGGAGCCCCGACGUGGGGGCUUCUCUCAUUAACUCAUUUUAGCGGAUGCAGAAGCUGAGGCUUCUAGAAGCGAGGUGCCAGGCUGCAGGGCUCUGAACCCCGCUCUACCCCAGGGGCACUGGCAUGGGGGGGGUGGAGAGUGGGAAAGUCAGGGACGCGCCCUCAGGGCUUCCUGGAGGCAGCCGUGUCAGCUCCCUCCACCUGCUGUCCUUCCUCUUUCGAGCCCUGACUCAGCGGACCCUCGGGGGCGCCCGCGCAGCCCUGACGCGGCACUUCCGCUGUCCAGGAAACAGCUGCGGUUCACCGAAGGAGAGACCCUCCUUCAGGCCCAGGGCCACUGCCGGGCACCGACGCCCUGGGUCGUGCCUCCAGCUCCUGUCCCUCCGUCUGUCCCCGUUCCGGCUUGCUGGAGCUCAGGAGGAGCGGAGAGGGUGGCAGGAGCUAGAGGCAAACCUCUGGGGUCCCCCGGCCAGCCCUGGGGGGCAGCCGGGGAGGCGGGCACGAGCCGACAGCCUCUCUGCCCCUGGGAGACCCCUGUCCAGAGGUGGCGAGGUCCCGGAAGAAGAGUCACGACAGACGACCGGAGCCUGGCGGCCGAGGAGCAGGCGCUGCGCUGUCAGAACCCCGGCUGCAUGGACAAGGGGCGCGUGGCCGAGGUAGGAGGCCCCCCGAGGCUGGCGGGGCACCUGGGCGGGGGAGGGCGGGGCUCUGAGCCCCCUCCCCAGG
Molecule: long non-coding RNA, 872 nt
Filed under: Dasypus novemcinctus (nine-banded armadillo)
Lineage: Eukaryota; Metazoa; Chordata; Mammalia; Cingulata; Dasypodidae
Description: lncRNA (ENSDNOG00000051230.1)
Source: RNAcentral